RNAcentral lists this ribosomal RNA (301 nucleotides) under uncultured bacterium. RNAcentral's name for it is "partial 16S ribosomal RNA". It matches the Rfam family "Bacterial small subunit ribosomal RNA", at positions 509 to 807 of the family's 1533-position model. The record is from RNAcentral.
CAGUCGCCACGGUAAUACGAGGGGGGCAAGCGUUGUUCGGAAUUAUUGGGCGUAAAGGGUGCGUAGGCGGCUUGACAAGUCUUGUGUGAAAUCUAUGGGCUCAACCCAUAGUCUGCACGGGAAACUGUCGGGCUUGAGAAUGGGAGAGGUGAGUGGAAUUUCCGGUGUAGCGGUGAAAUGCGUAGAUAUCGGAAGGAACACCUGUGGCGAAAGCGGCUCACUGGACCAUCUCUGACGCUGAUGCAUGAAAGCUAGGGGAGCAAUCAGGAUUAGAUACCCCCGUAGUCCCUGUCUCUUAUAC